This 468-nucleotide ribosomal RNA is filed under the name uncultured bacterium. Its description in RNAcentral is "partial 16S ribosomal RNA". It matches the Rfam family "Bacterial small subunit ribosomal RNA", at positions 28 to 507 of the family's 1533-position model. The record is from RNAcentral.
GACGAACGCUGGCGGCGUGCUUAACACAUGCAAGUCGAACGGAAAGGCCCUGCUUUUGUGGGGUGCUCGAGUGGCGAACGGGUGAGUAACACGUGAGUAACCUGCCCUUGACUUUGGGAUAACUUCAGGAAACUGGGGCUAAUACCGGAUAGGAGCUCCUACUGCAUGGUGGGGGUUGGAAAGUUUCGGCGGCUGGGGAUGGACUCGCGGCUUAUCAGCUUGUUGGUGGGGUAGUGGCUUACCAAGGCUUUGACGGGUAGCCGGCCUGAGAGGGUGACCGGCCACAUUGGGACUGAGAGACGGCCCAGACUCCUACGGGAGGCAGCAGUGGGGAAUAUUGCACAAUGGGCGGAAGCCUGAUGCAGCAACGCCGCGUGCGGGAUGACGGCCUUCGGGUUGUAAACCGCUUUCGCCUGUGACGAAGCGUGAGUGACGGUAAUGGGUAAAGAAGCACCGGCUAACUACGUG